UGAUUAUCAUUGUUGAGGAUUUAUGCUUAUUCUUCUAUUUUUAUGGUCAGACUGAAGAUCUGAUUUUCAGGCAGCAUAAUUGCAUUUAGCUUGAGUUUCUGAGCUUCAAUUGUGAAAACAGAAGAUUCUUGUUAAUUUUGUAGUCUACAUUGACUCUGAAUAAGAUAAUCAAGUGAUGAAUAAGUGUUGUCUCCAAGAAAUAGAAACCUAAAACCUUGUAGACAAUAAUCUUUUAAUUUCUUUCUUUUUUUAUUGUUGUCAUUGUCUCCUGUAAGUUGCUCAUGCCAAUCUUUUGAGUUUCUAGAAAUGGAUUUUGGAUCUUUUUUAGCUGAUACUGUCAGAAACUGGUUGAUAUAACCUGAAACAUAAUAAUUCAUACCCAGACAUCAAGAGCAGGGGAACUAAUUAUGAUGCUACUGACUGGUUGGCUGUUUAGCCAAAACUUUCAUCUUGAUUGAGUUUAUGUUUACAUGUUCAUUAAUGCUUGGAACUGUUUAGCAGUCUAGUGUUUGUCAUUACACUAUCAUUGUAAACUAUAAAUCAUUGUACUCCUGUAGUCUUAAAAGUGUAGGUUUGUCGAAACAUAUUUUGCUAUAUCAACAAUGUCUACUUACGGUUUUGUUUGUCUUGCUAUUUAGAUGUAUGAUGUUUGUUACUUACAGCAGUUGGGUGUUUCAAUGGAUCUUACUGUUCUUCAUUUAGUAUACACAUGCUAAAACUAGGAAAUUUGUGCUUUAAAUUCUAUUGGAUUUGAUGUUGUCUUUUUUAUGACAAACUCACAGAACCGCUAAAUUGUUAAUUUGAUGUUUUGUCUAUUAUGCAGGACAAGUACAUGCAAAACAGACUGGUGAGGUUGGUUUGUGUGUUUCUACAGAGUCUUAUCAGGAACAAGAUCAUUAAUGUUCAUGAUCUAUUCAUCGAGGUGCAGGCAUUCUGCAUCGAGUUCUCCCGCAUCAGGGAGGCUGCUGGCUUGUUCAGGCUUCUCAAAACUCUGGAAUGAGCUGGAGAAUUCUUGCAAAUUUUAAUGCUAUCUCGCUCCAUUCUGUACAUUCGAUGUUACUUUUUACGGAGAAUUGACCCAAAAUCCCAUGAUCUAUCGGGACCAAUCAUCAGACCAUGCAUCCACAUUUAUGAAUAUAUACAUAUGCAUGAGCCUACAAAAUUAUUUGGAAUUCGAUUUCUUUCCAUUUUAAAAUUUCUGUUGAA
Long non-coding RNA from Musa acuminata AAA Group (dessert banana), 1206 nucleotides. RefSeq lists it as uncharacterized. The record is from RefSeq and is a predicted model, not a curated record. Lineage: Eukaryota; Viridiplantae; Streptophyta; Magnoliopsida; Zingiberales; Musaceae. The transcript is spliced from 2 exons.